This is a long non-coding RNA of Raphanus sativus (radish), 1094 nucleotides long. RefSeq lists it as uncharacterized. The transcript has 2 exons. Lineage: Eukaryota; Viridiplantae; Streptophyta; Magnoliopsida; Brassicales; Brassicaceae. The record is from RefSeq and is a predicted model, not a curated record.
CAUAAAUCUCAAACUCUAAACUACACAAGUUUAUGGCUUAAACUUUAAACUACAUUAAAUAAAAACAUACAGAUGUUAUAAUUAACUUCCAAAUCCAAAAUUUUGAAACUGUAAACCUUAGCCCUAAACCCUGACUAUAACAUAAAUCCAACUAUUAAACUUUUAAAUCAUAAAACUAAAAUAUAGUGUUAAGUAGUAAAGUAAAGAGUAUUGUAUCAUAUAAUAGAAUUCAAAGUAGUUAUACAUAUAUAAUUAAAUGUGCAUAAAGUAAAGUACCAAAACUAUUAGUUUUUUUAUUGGCUAAUAUCAUAUUGCAAGGAUUGGCAAUCUCCACCAUUGAUUAUAGCGUUUGAUUAUAUUAGUUUAAUAAUGGUCCAAAUCUGCGCCCUUUCUCCUAAUUGGCUAAUACAUGACUCCCAAGAUUGCCAUCUCAGCCAUUAAUUUCAUUUUAAUCUAAGGGUAAAAACUUUUUUGGUUUUCUCUACUCUCUCCGACAUUUUCUUUCUUCUUUCUCCUCAUUCAUCUCUUCUGCAAACAGAAGAUAUCUCUCAUUCAAUUCACAAUUGUUUCUUUCUCUUCCUUUCUCAAACACAAAUGCACGAGUAAAGAUUGAUUAAUUUAUACAAACAAUUGUAUUUAACUCCAGCAAUCCAACGUAUUCUGAAGCUGUUCAACAAUCUAAGUACAGAUUGAUUGGAGAAUCCAGUCAAACAUACGUCUCAAGAACUGGAUUCUGGCGGAGAAGAGAUGCCAUAUGCGGCGGAGGAAUUGAGAUCCAGGCGAGUCAUCAAUGGACUUGGCGCUGUUGCCUGAAGGUUGAAGAACCAAAGAACGGGAAGCAGAAGGUGGAACAGGAAGAAGAAGAAAAGACGGCGUGACAUAGUGUGAUGGUGUACUAGCGCGACGCCGCGCUUGGUAAAACGGAGCAACACGACGGCUCUUCAGCUCCAGCCAUACACUUCCUCGUGGCGGCGCAAGAGGCUAUCCAAGACAUAGGUUUAUGUUAUUUUGUAAACCAGUUUGUAAACCAAUUUAAAUUUGUAAACCAUAAAUACUAUUGUUAAUAAAAUAAAAUCAUUUGUUUUGUCUAGAUA